GAUGAACGCUGGCGGCGUGCCUAAUACAUGCAAGUCGAGCGAACAGACGAGGAGCUUGCUCCUCUGACGUUAGCGGCGGACGGGUGAGUAACACGUGGAUAACCUACCUAUAAGACUGGGAUAACUUCGGGAAACCGGAGCUAAUACCGGAUAAUAUAUUGAACCGCAUGGUUCAAUAGUGAAAGACGGUUUUGCUGUCACUUAUAGAUGGAUCCGCGCCGCAUUAGCUAGUUGGUAAGGUAACGGCUUACCAAGGCAACGAUGCGUAGCCGACCUGAGAGGGUGAUCGGCCACACUGGAACUGAGACACGGUCCAGACUCCUACGGGAGGCAGCAGUCGGGAAUCUUCCGCAAUGGGCGAAAGCCUGACGGAGCAACGCCGCGUGAGUGAUGAAGGUCUUCGGAUCGUAAAACUAUGUUAUUAGGGAAGAACAAAUGUGUAAGUAACUAUGCACGUCUUGACGGUACCUAAUCAGAAAGCCACGGCUAACUACGUG
RNAcentral lists this ribosomal RNA (497 nucleotides) under uncultured bacterium. RNAcentral describes it as "partial 16S ribosomal RNA". It matches the Rfam family "Bacterial small subunit ribosomal RNA", at positions 28 to 507 of the family's 1533-position model. The record is from RNAcentral.